AUUAAACGCUGGCGGCAUGCCUUACACAUGCAAGUCGAACGGCAGCACGGGUGCUUGCACCUGGUGGCGAGUGGCGAACGGGUGAGUAAUACAUCGGAACAUGUCCUGUAGUGGGGGAUAGCCCGGCGAAAGCCGGAUUAAUACCGCAUACGAUCUACGGAUGAAAGCGGGGGACCUUCGGGCCUCGCGCUAUAGGGUUGGCCGAUGGCUGAUUAGCUAGUUGGUGGGGUAAAGGCCUACCAAGGCGACGAUCAGUAGCUGGUCUGAGAGGACGACCAGCCACACUUGGGCUUAGACCACGCCCCGACCCCUACGGGGAGCAGCCGUUGGGAAUUUUGGACCAUUGGCGAAAGCCUGAUCCAACAAAGGCGGGUGGUUGAAGAAGGCCUUCGGGUUGUAAAGCACUUUUGUCCGGAAAGAAAUCCUUGGCCCUAAUACGGUCGGGGGAUGACGGUACCGGAAGAAUAAGCACCGGCUAACUACGUG
This 486-nucleotide ribosomal RNA is filed under the name uncultured bacterium. RNAcentral describes it as "partial 16S ribosomal RNA". It matches the Rfam family "Bacterial small subunit ribosomal RNA", at positions 30 to 507 of the family's 1533-position model. The record is from RNAcentral.